AUGUGUACACACGUAUCACCCGCUCUGACCUGCUCCUCUCUGUCUUCGUACUCCGCCGUUAGCCGCCGUUAGCCGCUCGGUGAGCAGCUCUCAGCGCGGGGACACGGGGACGGGAUCCGUGUCUUGUUUGUCCUCCUGCAGCAGAAAGUCUUCACAUGUGUCCUCUGAUCCACUCAUGUAGCGACACCCGCAGCUGACACACUGCGGACAUUUCACUGCUUUUCUGCGCUACUUCGUCGUCGUCGUUGUCUUCUUCUUCUUCUUCUUCUCGUUUAAUGGCGGGUAGCAACUAUCGUUAAAGGAUGUUGGUGUGACACAGACGACGACGACUGAAAACACAAACAAGCAUCUUUGUCAGUGAUUAGGGGAGGUGCUUCAAGGCAUGCCAUAAAAAAUGGCCUCAGUCGCUCCUCCUGCGUCCCACAGCCACUCCAGAGUUUUCUAGAUCGACUCCUAUGUCUGAAUGUCCGCUGCACAGGACUGUGGAAGUAAAACUGAGCAACAUUUUGAAAAAAUUAUUAAACUAGAACGAGACACAUCAGACAUACUGGUGUGGUCUAUGUGACAUAUGUGACAUGUGUGAUCUGGUCUGGUCUUUUCAUUAAAUAAAAGAUUUUUUUUAUAAA
Molecule: long non-coding RNA, 626 nt
Organism: Solea senegalensis (Senegalese sole)
Lineage: Eukaryota; Metazoa; Chordata; Actinopteri; Pleuronectiformes; Soleidae
Exons: 3
Source: RefSeq, a predicted model, not a curated record